GGAGGCAGCAGUAGGAAAUCCUCUUUAUGGACGAAAGUCUGAUGGAGCAACGCCGCGUGAGUGAAGAAGGUUUUCGGAUCGUAAAACUCUGUUGUAAGGGAAGAACACGUACGAGAGUAACUGCUCGUACCUUGACGGUACCUUAUUAGAAAGCCACGGCUAACUACGUGCCAGCAGCCGCGGUAAUACGUAGGUGGCAAGCGUUGUCCGGAAUUAUUGGGCGUAAAGCGCGCGCAGGCGGUCCUUUAAGUCUGAUGUGAAAGCCCACGGCUCAACCGUGGAGGGUCAUUGGAAACUGGGGGACUUGAGUACAGAAGAGGAAAGUGGAAUUCCACGUGUAGCGGUGGAAUGCGUAGAGAUGUGGAGGAACACCAGUGGCGAAGGCGGCUUUCUGGUCUGUAACUGACGCUGAGGCGCGAAAGCGUGGGGAGCAAACAGGAUUAGAUACCCUGGUAGUCCACGCCGUACACGAUGAGUGCUAAGUGUUAGGGGGUUUCCGCCCCUUAUUGCUGCAGCUAACGCAUUAAGCACUCCGCCUGGGGAGUACGGCCGCAAGGUUGAAAUUCAAAGGAAUUGACGGGGGCCCUUAUAAGCGGUUGGAUCAUGUGGUUUAAUUCGAAGCAACCCGAAGAAUCUUUACCAAGUUCUUGACUUUCCCCCUGACCGGGUUUAAAGAUAAGUCUUUCCCCUUAUGGGACAGUGUCUGACAUGUGUGAGCAUUGUAUGGUCGUAAGCUUCUUUGUCUAGGAAAAGCUUGGGUUAAAGUUCCCGCAAUCGAGUGCCAA
This 785-nucleotide ribosomal RNA is filed under the name uncultured Caryophanaceae bacterium. RNAcentral describes it as "bacterial SSU rRNA". It matches the Rfam family "Bacterial small subunit ribosomal RNA", at positions 344 to 1102 of the family's 1533-position model. Lineage: Bacteria; Bacillati; Bacillota; Bacilli; Caryophanales; Caryophanaceae. The record is from RNAcentral.